RNAcentral lists this ribosomal RNA (252 nucleotides) under uncultured bacterium. RNAcentral describes it as "partial 16S ribosomal RNA". It matches the Rfam family "Bacterial small subunit ribosomal RNA", at positions 524 to 776 of the family's 1533-position model. The record is from RNAcentral.
UACGGAGGAUGCGAGCGUUAUCCGGAUUUAUUGGGUUUAAAGGGUGCGUAGGCGGGCUUCUAAGUCAGCGGUAAAAAUUCGGGGCCCAACCCCGUCCGGCCGUUGAAACUGGGGGCCUUGAGUGGGCGAGAAGAAGGCGGAAUGCGUGGUGUAGCGGUGAAAUGCAUAGAUAUCACGCAGAACCCCGAUUGCGAAGGCAGCCUUCCGGCGCCCUACUGACGCUGAGGCACGAAAGUGCGGGGAUCGAACAGG